UAUAUUUUGCUAGUACUCUAUAAUAUAUUACAAUAAUAUCUAUUAUACAACCAAAAAUAAUUUAUUUUAUUAGCUCAAAUAAUGAAGUACACUUAUACGAUUCCAAAAAUCUUCCCUGGAUCAUUCCUGUAUCUUCCAUAUCUUGAUUUAAAAUCAAGAUUCCGUGCAUAAAAUCAUUUUAUACAUAACCUACACACAUACUCUAUCUAUCACAACCCAAAUUCACAAUCAAAAAGACUUCAGAGAUGCAAGACACACUCAAAGAUUUCGUAGAUAACAAUACAUACGAAACCAUAUAAGAUUAUAACGAUUGACUUCAAAAUGAUAACAACUGCCUCAUCAUUCUUCAUCUCGUUUCUUCUUCUUCCUUUUGAUUUAAAUUAACAGCAGCCUCCAAGUUCUUCUUCAUCCCCUGUCAAACGACCCAACCCAAACAACCAUCGAUUUCUGUCAAAAAUAAAACCCAAAUCACCCCUCAAUGGCUCAUGUUGAUAUUCACCACCCCUACAGCCCCUUUCCCAUGAACAGAUAAACAAAAUCCCAAAAGAAACAUUUUUUUUACCUGUGGUUGAUCGAGACUGCCAAAACAAGGGGGAAACAUCGGGAUUGUCGAGCAAACACCACCGAGGCCCUGACCAGCGACGUAUGGCUGCCAACCGGACUUCCAUCGGACAUCUUUUGCCUCUCGUACCUCACCCACGCAUCUCCCCUUUGCACACCGCUGCUGGAAUCGAAGCAAGCAGUCGAGAAGCUGCUUGAACAGCAGCCUCGCUGCCUCCCUCUUUCUUCCCCUUCGGACUCGUCGACCCGGAGACUCCUCCCUCUUCGCGAAUCAACCGACGAAGCGCGCCUCCGAGAUUUCGUCUACCUUCGUUCACUGCUUCCGUUCAUCUGCCUUCGCAGCCUUCGUUUAAUUCUUUCCCCUUAACCCGAUCGGUAUCCUUUUUCCUUCCGUCCCCUUCGCGAUUGCACCCCCGAAACCAACGGCAGCCCCGCUGCCUUCUUGUUCGUUUUCCCCUCUCUUCGUUCGUUUGAUUUCAGUCGUUCAUUCCCGUUCCAAUCGCCUUUGCUUCGUUCAUAUUUCCUCCCCGAUCGAUCAAAUGAACGAAUACAUAAAAAGCCCUAAUUUAUAGGGGUGUUCGUUUGGAUGGAUCGGUUUGAUCCGAUCCAAUCAAG
RNAcentral lists this long non-coding RNA (1176 nucleotides) under Lactuca sativa (garden lettuce). RNAcentral's name for it is "long non-coding RNA (LSAT_LNC007010)". The record is from RNAcentral. Lineage: Eukaryota; Viridiplantae; Streptophyta; Magnoliopsida; Asterales; Asteraceae.